GCGGAACCCACUGCGGGGCCGGGCCGGGCCGCGUUGAUUUUCAAAGGAGAUUGUCACUUUUACUACUGACUUUACUUUGGUGCUUUCUGAAGAGUCUUUCCAUAAGUAUUUAUGCAAGUUUAAAAUGUGGAGAUAAAGGCACCUAUGUCAGGUCUCUACAUUGCUCUUUGUGCAGCACGAGAGGGGCUGAGGGCGCUGGGAAGGGGCUCAGCCUGGAGCAAAGGAGGCUUAGGGGCCCUUCUGGCUCUGCACAGCUCCUGCCAGGAGGGGACAGCCGGGGGGUCGGGCUGUGCUCCAGGGAACAGGGACAGGAGGAGAGGGAACAGCCUCAGGCUGGGCCAGGGCAGGCUCAGGUGAACACCAGCAGGAAUUCCUGCAUGGAAAGGGUGCUCAGGCCUUGGCAGGGGCUGCCCAGGGAGCUCUGGAGUGCCCAUCCCUGGGGGUGUCCCAGGAAGGGCUGGAGGUGGCACUCAGAGCUCUGGGCUGGGGACAAGGUGGGCAUCGGGCACAGCUGGGACUCCAUGGCCUUGCAGGGCUUUUCCAACAUUAAGAGUUGUCUGACAUGAGGUACGUUUUAACAUAUGGAACAGACAAUGCAAAAUUUUAUGUACUAGAUAGUAAAUGGGUAGAAUAGUCACCUUAUUAGCACCGUUCCAUAGGAGCAUUGAUUGCUUUUUCUCCCCAUAUAGGUCUGAAACAAUUACAAAGCAGCUUGGAAAUCUACUUGAAUAUUUUUAAAGUACAGGAAAUGAAAGAAACAAGCUGGAGUAUAAAGAAAACAAUUAUACAGGUUUGGUGGAGCGAAAAUCCUGCAGUGCCCUAAAGAAAAGCUCCCUGUCAGGGGCUCAGGCUUUUCCAUGAUGGAGAGGGUUGUGCUGUGCUAUCCUGGGAUGUGGUUGGGAAUGGUGUUCCAAGGAAACAAGUGCACACUUACUUACCAGAGUAACAUUGGUGGCACUAAAGCUCUGGGGACAGUAGUGAUCUCAGCAAAGGUUUUUGUAGGAACACUGUGUGCCUUCACCUUCCUGCAGGUAACUCAGGGGGAAUUUAAGAAAUAGAUUGUGCAAAACAGCAACAGCAGAGAUUAUUAAAAUAAUGCUGGUAAGAUGAAAUUUAGUUACAUGUCAGAAAACCCAGAACAAGGACAACUGCCAUGCAGAGGAACUUUUAGCCGUUUCCUGUGCAAAUUAUGCACUCAGCCUGCAUUGCCAGGUUUCUGCAAGUCAGUAAAAGUCCCUUCUUGUGUGUCACAGACCUGACUCUUUUACUGGAUUUGUUUUGUAAGAUAAAAUUUUAUGUUGCUCACCUCAUCAUAAAAAGGAGGGCUGAAGCACAGAGGUAUACAACAAAUCCUGGUGAGUAGAAUCACAGGUCUUACCACUCCAGAUAGCCUUGUCAUAUGAGGAAAAAAGAAAAAAAUGGUUCUAAAGCAUGUAAAGGGAAAAUAAAAACAACUUGAAGUUGAAACCUGUGAUUGGAGAGGUGGGUUGUGUUUCUGUAUUGAGAAUUAAAGGCAGCAAAGUGAGGGAGGAGGUGCUGCAUUGUCCCCUGGGACUGAAGGAGACCCUGGGAGCUGUAAGGAGGCACCAGAGCUCUGACAGCAGGUGAUAAACUGUAAAGUGGAAUAUUAACUUCCUGGUAUUUGAAUAGAAUCAGACUGAGUGAAUAAUGAGCCAAGCCCUGUGAGUUCCAAUCAAACAUCCAGCUAAAUUUGAUCUCUCCACCUAAAAGAGGAGUAGGGGAGGAGGGAAAAAGAAAACUCUACAGAAACCACCAAACAUCAGACAAGCAAACCAGCCACCUUCCUGUAGGCAAAGGAAAACAACCAUUUUCAUAGGAUUCUACACCUGUACCAUCCUGCCUUGGAGAAGAACCAUAAAAGUAGCUGGAUCUUUUUUUUUUUUUUUUUUUUCUUUAUGCAGUAGCUAACCAUGCUCUUAUUCACUUGAAAAAUGAACCAACAACUUUCUGUAGCUGUUAGCUGUGCAUUCCUUGAAGACAUCCUCAGUUUGCCCUUUUUCAGCUGGGUAAUUUGCACUGGGUUAAACUCUACUGUGGAUUCCCCUGGUCUGUGGUUUGUCACAGCAGACCACUGUGCUUCCUUUGGAGCCAUUUCACCAUUCUAAUUAAAUUUGUGGUUAGGCUUAUUUAACUGUUAUUUGCUUCAUAGAAUCAAACAUUUAAGAGUUUGGUGUCUGAUCAUGAGUGCACUAAAAGUAACUGCUUGACUUAAACAAAAAAAGGAAGUUUGUUCUGUGGUU
Molecule: long non-coding RNA, 2261 nt
Filed under: Taeniopygia guttata (zebra finch)
Lineage: Eukaryota; Metazoa; Chordata; Aves; Passeriformes; Estrildidae
Description: lncRNA (ENSTGUG00000026296.1)
Source: RNAcentral